Molecule: unclassified non-coding RNA, 233 nt
Filed under: Hevea brasiliensis (rubber tree)
Lineage: Eukaryota; Viridiplantae; Streptophyta; Magnoliopsida; Malpighiales; Euphorbiaceae
Source: RNAcentral
CAGCCCAGGUCGACCCAGUGAACCUUGAACCAAUACAUUUGUCAAAUACAUUAUCAGUCCAUUGAAGCUUCAGCUAAAGACUCCCAAUUAUCAAAGACAACAAGAGGAUCUACUAUUAUGACAUAAAAUAAGUGCCUCAUUGAGAUGCAUCAAUAAAUUCAGAGCCAAGUAUUGUGAGCAAAGCAAAAUUCAAUGUUCAGCAGUAUUUCUUUCUGUAUUCACAUACAAUUCAA